This 73-nucleotide transfer RNA is filed under the name Actinomadura violacea. RNAcentral's name for it is "Actinomadura sp. LCR2-06 tRNA-Val". It matches the Rfam family "tRNA". From Rfam's summary of the family: Transfer RNA (tRNA) molecules are approximately 80 nucleotides in length. The record is from RNAcentral. Lineage: Bacteria; Bacillati; Actinomycetota; Actinomycetes; Streptosporangiales; Thermomonosporaceae.
GCGGGAUGGGGCAGUUCGGUAGCCCGCCGGGGCUACACCUCGGAGGUCGCAGGUUCAAAUCCUGCUCCCGCCA